GUCCACAUAGUGUAACGGUAACACCCCUUGAUUGCUUACAUCAUGCCAUCUCUUGAACAUCAAGGUGCCGUGGGUUCAACUCCCCCUGUGGACA
This is a non-coding RNA of Mycena leptocephala, 94 nucleotides long. The record is from the annotation of a GenBank genome assembly. Lineage: Eukaryota; Fungi; Basidiomycota; Agaricomycetes; Agaricales; Mycenaceae.